RNAcentral lists this ribosomal RNA (879 nucleotides) under 'Melia azedarach' phytoplasma. RNAcentral's name for it is "bacterial SSU rRNA". It matches the Rfam family "Bacterial small subunit ribosomal RNA", at positions 366 to 1254 of the family's 1533-position model. Lineage: Bacteria; Bacillati; Mycoplasmatota; Mollicutes; Acholeplasmatales; Acholeplasmataceae. The record is from RNAcentral.
CGGCAAUGGAGGAAACUCUGACCGCGCAACACCGCCGUGAACGACGCAAGUACUUUGGUAUGUAAGUUCUUUUAUCAAGGAAGAAAAGCAAGUGGCGAACCAUUUGUUUGCCGGUACUUGAUGAAUAACCCCCGGCUAAUUAUGUGCCAGCAGCCGCGGUAAGACAUAAGGGGCAAGUGUUAUCCGGAAUUAUUGGGCGUAAGGGGUGCGUAGGCGGUCUAAUAAGUCAGUGGUGUAAUGGCAGCGCUCAACGUUGUCCGGCUAUUGAAACUGCUAAACUUGAGUUAGAUAGAGGCGAGUGGAAUUCCAUGUGUAGCGGUAAAAUGCGUAAAUAUAUGGAGGAACACCAGAGGCGUAGGCGGCUCGCUGGGUCUUAACUGACGCUGAGGCACGAAAGCGUGGGGAGCAAACAGGAUUAUAUACCCUGGUAGUCCACGCCGUAAACGAUGAGUACUAAGUGUCGGGUUAAACCGGUACUGAAGUUAACACAUUAAGUACUCCGCCUGAGUAGUACGUACGCAAGUAUGAAACUUAAAGGAAUUGACGGGACUCCGCACAAGCGGUGGAUCAUGUUGUUUAAUUCAAAGAUACCCGAAAAACCUUACCAGGUCUUGACAUGUUUUUGCGAAACGGUAGUAAUAUCGUAGAGGUUAUCAUAAACACAGGUGGUGCAUGGUUGUCGUCAGCUCGUGUCGUGAGAUGUUAGGUUAAGUCCUAAAACGAGCGAAACCCUUAUCGUUAGUUGCCAGCACGUUAUGGUGGAGACUUUAACGAGACUGCCAGUGAUAAACUGGAGGAUGUGAGGAUCACGUCAUAUCAUGUGCCCCUUAUGACCUGGGCUACAAACGUGAUACAAUGGUGUUACAAAGAGUAGCUGAA